This 3027-nucleotide long non-coding RNA is filed under the name Marmota monax (woodchuck). Lineage: Eukaryota; Metazoa; Chordata; Mammalia; Rodentia; Sciuridae. The record is from RNAcentral.
CGGCAGCCCAGGCAGGGGUGUGUCGGGAACACAGUGGUCAUGUUGGGCCUGGCGCGUCUUGGUGAGGACUCAGCGAAGCUAGCCUCGCACUCUGGCCUCCUGCUCCCCAGGUGCUCUUCCACAUGGCAGGGAGGGUGUGCCUGCCUCUGAGGCCUGUUCUUCAGACAGGCCAACCAGCAGCGCCCAGCACCAGGCCCCAGGCCUGUGGGUGGCGACCACCCAGGGACUGCAAGCCACAUAAAGCACAGAUGUCAAAGGCUGUUGAGGUCUUCGCUAGCUGCUGCGUGUGCGAGGAGGCUGCGGGUGACUCAGUGGCUGUCGAGAAGUGGUUCUGUCCUUCCCUGUCCAGUCCUCCCUUCCCAGGGGGGCAAGGGAGAUGGGUUUUGCUGGAGCUGGACCACUUCGCUUCUGACUCUAUCCUUCACACCAGCCCCCGGCCAGGUUGCUGGGCCCCCUUGACCCAGGCAGUGUCUCUGAGCUGAGGCUGUGGUUGGACAGAGCCAGCCAGCUGCUCCGUCCAGCCCCGGGACUGCCACAAGAGGAUUGUGGAAACCAUCAUGUGGCUGAAUCUGAAAUUUCAUACUUUCAGUAAAAAUGAGCGUCUUUGAAGCCGUAAGCUGUGCAAAUUAACAGAGAUCAUAUUUGAUGCAGAAUUUCCCAGGUCCUGCUGUGAAAAUCAUAACCCAGUCUACUGAAUUACCCCCAAGAUGCACUUCCUCUGAGUGUAAUAAUGAGUGAUCACGUAACCAUGGAAACAGCUAUUUUAGGAGAGAGAAAAACCAGAGAACAUGGAUCUUCAGAAUAGCUUCAUAAAGUCAGACUUUGCUUGAUGUAACUCUGAAUGCCUUGGCUCUGGGUAGGUUCGUGGGCUUUGUUCAGCUACGUAAGCUUGCUCAGGAGCACAUCCAUUUGAAUAAUUGGUUUUGAAUACUUGCAGAGAGAAUAUUCCAGAAAAAAAAAGAAAAGAGCAGGGGAAAAAGAUCAGGCUACUCUUUGGCUACAAGUGUCCCUGUCACUUGUCAGGAGUCUCCAUAACCAUGUUCACUAUGGCCCCAACUCCAGCCGAAGGGCUGGCAAGUCCUGGAAUACUAGGCUUCCAGGACAAUCUGGAAAUCAUUAACACCAACGAAAUUUCAGCUUCAACAUUAUUUUUUGCUGGUUAUUUUAAAAUAAAAGAAACUGUAAUUUUAAAUACAAAUAUUACAGUAUACGUUAAAUUCAUUAACUUCAUAACAACUACCUGGGUACACAUACAUAUUCCUCUUGGCGCUUAUUUUGGCCUUUAUUUCUACCCAUUGUUUCAAGACUUUCUGUAUCUGAAAAAAUUGGAACUGCUUAUAGGCAGUACAAUUAGUCUUUUUGUCAUUGUACUUAUGAAUAGCAAAGGUAGCAGCCGAAGCAGAGCAGGUGAACCGGGUAUCUCAGAGGUAAGUCCUGCAGCGAGUAUUCAUUUCUUCUACCCUCAUUUGAAAACUCCUACAUGCAGAAGAAAUUGACACAUGCAGAAGAAAUUCUUGACACCACUUACCACAAAUGUUUUUGUGUAAAAAGUGGUUUUAAAUACCUCAGAUUGAGCCAGGUGAAGUGGUGCACACCUGUAAUUCCAGCAACUCGAGAGGCUGAGGCAGGAGGAUCACAAGUUCAAGGCCAGCCUCAGUGACUUAGCAAGGCCCUAAGCAGCUUAGCAAGACACUGUCUCAAAAUAAAGAUAAAAAAUGGCUGGGGGUGUAGUUCAGUGGUAGAGCCCCCUGGGAUGAAUCCUCAGUACCAAAAAUAAAAUAAAAUAUCCCAGAACAAACACUGCCUUGAUUGAAGAGUGUAGUCCACCCUGUUUGUUGCCUGGUUCAAUCCUCAGCCUCUUCCUUGCACAUCUUACCAAGCUUCUGACGGUGUUUACCAUUUGCUGUAUGUUGCUAGAUUCAUGCAAAAAGCUGUGAACAUCAUGUUUUACAUAGUGAAAUAAAACAAACAAAAGAAAGCAUCCUUUCAGUGCCUUCGAGCUGUAAAUUUCAACGUUCCCAGAAGUGGAACUGUGUGGGGAAAGCCAGGCUGCUCCAGCUUGGCUGGGUGAGGCCCCAGCCCCAGCCUCCGGGUGCUGCUGGGGCCCCUCUGCAGCCUGCAGGCACCUAGCUCCCCAGGGUGUGGUGGCCACACUGUGCAUUUCAAAAUGCACAGCAAGUGCCAACACAGAGUGGUAUUUUAUUGGAACAAAUAUGUCCAAGUGGAGUGGAGUGAAUACAGGGUAUCUCGGAUGCUCUGUUUACGCUUUUGCUCAUUGCAAGUGAACCAGAAGACCUCUUUAGCCAUUUUAAUAGGAACAAAAUUGAAAUCCAGUGAUCAGAGGUGAGAGUGGAGCCUUUGCCAGGUUGGACACCGCUUCAUUCUUGUUGGGCAGGAGGCUGUAUGGAAGUAUUCUGGCACGUGUGGAUGGCUGGUUGCAAGCAGUAGCAGAAAAAUAAUUUUAUUUUUGUUUUCCUUGUUGCCACAAGGAAUGUUUUAAGUUAAAUUAUGCUGAAAUGUGAAAAAGAGAAUCAUUAUAAAUUUUCUUCCAAGCUGAGUUUUUAACCGUCGUGAACAACUCUUCGCAGUCCUAUAGCAUGAAUGUGAAAUCCCGUCAGUACUCUAUUUACAGCACUGGAGUGGGCUGCGUUUUCCCCUGGGAAGAGGGCAGCUGGCCUGCCAGGGGAGCUCCAGCCCCUCUGGUGUUAGAGGAGCAGGCUGUGCACCUUUGUCCCUUCUAGGUCUUGCUCCUAGGGGGGGAACUGCUGUCCUUCAGUGCCUGCAUCCUACAGAGAACCAGCAGGGCCGGGCGUGGCUUGGGGGUAGAGCACGUGCUUAGCAUGCAGAGCCCUGGAUUCUGUCCUCAGUAGGCACAUUAAAAAAUAUAUAUAUACAGUGAAAUGAUAAUGGCAGGAUCUAGAUAAAAGGUAUUCAAGUGUUUUCUUUGAAAUUAUUUCAAGUUGUUUAGUGUUUGAAAUGCUUAUGGUAAAAUGUAGGAGGAAGAAAGAAAACAUGUAAGUGUACGUG